AGAGGGUGCGAGCGUUAAUCGGAAUUACUGGGCGUAAAGGGUGCGUAGGUGGUUUUGUAAGUAACAUGUGAAAGUCCUGAGCUUAACUUGGGGAUUGCGUGUUAAACUGCAAAGCUAGAGUGUUGUAGAGGAUAGCGGAAUUUCCGGUGUAGCGGUGAAAUGCGUAGAUAUCGGAAGGAACAUCAGUGGCGAAGGCGGCUAUCUGGACAACAACUGACACUGAGGCACGAAAGCGUGGGGAGCAAACAGGAUUAGAUACCCUGGUAGUCCACGCCGUAAACGAUGAUAACUGGUUGUUGGAUGCGAGAGCAUUUAGUAACGAAGCAAACGCGUUAAGUUAUCCGCCUGGGGAGUACGGCCGCAAGGUUA
RNAcentral lists this ribosomal RNA (369 nucleotides) under uncultured bacterium. RNAcentral describes it as "bacterial SSU rRNA". It matches the Rfam family "Bacterial small subunit ribosomal RNA", at positions 527 to 896 of the family's 1533-position model. The record is from RNAcentral.